Molecule: ribosomal RNA, 451 nt
Filed under: uncultured bacterium
Lineage: Bacteria
Description: partial 16S ribosomal RNA
Rfam family: Bacterial small subunit ribosomal RNA
Source: RNAcentral
GUGGGGAAUAUUGGACAAUGGGGGGAACCCUGAUCCAGCCAUGCCGCGUGUGUGAAGAAGGCCUUUUGGUUGUAAAGCACUUUAAGCGAGGAGGAGGCUACCGAGAUUAAUACUCUUGGAUAGUGGACGUUACUCGCAGAAUAAGCACCGGCUAACUCUGUGCCAGCAGCCGCGGUAAUACAGAGGGUGCAAGCGUUAAUCGGAUUUACUGGGCGUAAAGCGCGCGUAGGUGGCCAAUUAAGUCAAAUGUGAAAUCCCCGAGCUUAACGUGGGAAUUGCAUUCGAUACUGGUUGGCUAGAGUAUGGGAGAGGAUGGUAGAAUUCCAGGUGUAGCGGUGAAAUGCGUAGAGAUCUGGAGGAAUACCGAUGGCGAAGGCAGCCAUCUGGCCUAAUACUGACACUGAGGUGCGAAAGCAUGGGGAGCAAACAGGAUUAGAUACCCGGGUAGUCC